GUUGUUUAUGUAAGAAUUUCAAGGCCACAACUCCAUAUUUGAAGUAAAGUGCUCAUAAAAUUAAUUGCAAGGAAAUCCAUCACUAUGAUUCAACUUCUGAAGAGAGAUUUGCUAGGAAAAAUAAAAAGAUAUAUAAAUUUCAGUGAUGCUGAAGGUUUUGAGAAGCCAUCUGCAGCUCACAACUAGAUGAGUGACACAAUCAGAUGUGCGUAUGCAAAAAAAAGCCUGGAGACAUUGAACUAAGAUCAAAUUUAAUGUAUUAAAUAUGGUAGAAAGAAGAGAGAAUGAAAAAUAAUGUUAACAAUCUAGGUGAGGAAUUGCUGAGGAGACAAAUUAAGUAAAUCCUGUGGAAGGAAAGAAGAAAGGAGGAAAGAGGAUUGGAUGGAAGAAUCUCCACUUCUCAUAGGUGUAGUCCUUCCUUAGCCUGCUUUUUAAUGAGUGCUGCUAAAGCCCUUAGCCUGCCUGUUUACCCUUGGAGUGGAGCAAUGAACUGAAGAUAUUUGAGUGAGUUCAAGAGAGACUCAGAAGAGAAGAAUUGGAGGCAGCAAACAUAGACAGCACUUUUAAUGCUUUUCUCAUAUGCUGUAAGACAUGAAAGCAAUCUAUUGGGAUGAAAGCUGAAAGGAGAAGCGGGACAAGAGAAGUGAAUCCGUGGAAGACCCCCAAAAGAGGCUGCAGAUUCUUAGUGGACAGCUCUCAUAUCCCCUCCAGGGAAAAUGAUGAAAAAUGUCUUCAGAAAAAUAGCUUUAUGAAGGCAAGAGGACUUUUUGCACCUGCAAGACAUGUCUGAAAGCUCCUCAGGUCAAAACACAAGUAGUCAAGAGAUUUGUCCAUCUAAUUCAUCAUACUACUCUGAUCCAAGUGAGACCCACACUGGGUCAGCUCCAUCAAGGAGAAGAACAUUCCACCCACGUUUGGAUUCUGGAAUAUCAUCCUUGCUUCCAUCAGAUUCUUGUAAGUACCUCACUUGGCACAAGGUAGACAUGACGUUCAAGGAAGUCAACUGCGUUGCCCAAGAGUAAGAGAAGGAAUCUCUGAAGAAGAGCAACUUUUCAGACAGGUAGAGUGUGCCUUGCUCCCAAGGAAAAGAGUUCUUGAAAAAAACAAAUGGGAAACAUGGCUACAAGAAAACUGGGAAGACUGCAAGAAAAUCUCAGAAUCUGCUUGAGAAUCCGGUCCUUCUUCCUCCAUACACCCAUGGAACACUCCCAAACUCUGUAUGCUGCUCACUAAUUCUGAUUAAGGUCUUCACCCUCCCUACCUUGGAAAUUGCUACAACAUAAUUGUGUUUGUAUGUAUAAUUAAUAUAUACAAUACAUUUUAAAUGAAUAACUAAAGUUGACAAAAA
Homo sapiens (human) is the source of this 1348-nucleotide long non-coding RNA. Ensembl annotates it as leucine rich repeat containing 77, pseudogene. Its record names the gene LRRC77P. Lineage: Eukaryota; Metazoa; Chordata; Mammalia; Primates; Hominidae. The record is from Ensembl.